RNAcentral lists this ribosomal RNA (497 nucleotides) under uncultured bacterium. RNAcentral's name for it is "partial 16S ribosomal RNA". It matches the Rfam family "Bacterial small subunit ribosomal RNA", at positions 28 to 507 of the family's 1533-position model. The record is from RNAcentral.
GAUGAACGCUGGCGGCGUGCCUAAUACAUGCAAGUCGAGCGAACGGACGAGAAGCUUGCUUUUCUGAUGUUAGCGGCGGACGGGUGAGUAACACGUGGAUAACCUACCUAUAAGACUGGGAUAACUUCGGGAAACCGGAGCUAAUACCGGAUAAUAUUUUGAACCGCAUGGUUCAAAAGUGAAAGACGGUCUUGCUGUCACUUAUAGAUGGAUCCGCGCUGCAUUAGCUAGUUGGUAAGGUAACGGCUUACCAAGGCAACGAUGCAUAGCCGACCUGAGAGGGUAAUCGGCCACACUGGAACUGAGACACGGCCCAGACUCCUACGGGAGGCAGCAGUAGGGAAUCUUCCGCAAUGGGCGAAAGCCUGACGGAGCAACGCCGCGUGAGUGAUGAAGGUCUUCGGAUCGUAAAACUCUGUUAUUAGGGAAGAACAUAUGUGUAAGUAACUGUGCACAUCUUGACGGUACCUAAUCAGAAAGCCACGGCUAACUACGUG